GCGCCCUUAGCUCAGCCGGCAGAGCAACUGACUCUUAAUCAGUGGGUCGAAGGUUCGAUUCCUUCAGGGCGCA
Molecule: transfer RNA, 73 nt
Filed under: Planctomycetes bacterium RIFCSPHIGHO2_02_FULL_40_12
Lineage: Bacteria; Pseudomonadati; Planctomycetota
Also listed under: 2 other names
Description: tRNA-Lys
Rfam family: tRNA
About the family: Transfer RNA (tRNA) molecules are approximately 80 nucleotides in length.
Source: RNAcentral